Molecule: transfer RNA, 129 nt
Filed under: Nitrosopumilales archaeon
Lineage: Archaea; Thermoproteati; Nitrososphaerota; Nitrososphaeria; Nitrosopumilales
Description: tRNA-Ser
Rfam family: tRNA
About the family: Transfer RNA (tRNA) molecules are approximately 80 nucleotides in length. Their secondary structure includes four short double-helical elements and three loops (D, anti-codon, and T loops).
Source: RNAcentral
GCAGAUGUGGCAGAGUGGUAAUGCGUCGGCCUUGAGUGAGUCUAUUAUAUACAUCUCUUGGAUAAUAGCCUGAAAGCAAGCCGAUUCGCCCUCGGGCGAUCAGGAGUUCAAAUCUCCUCAUCUGCGCCA